AGCAGCCGCGGUAAUUCCAGCUCCAAUAGCGUAUAUUAAAGUUGUUGCAGUUAAAAAGCUCGUAGUUGAAUUUCGGAAUCAAUACGUCGGUCGUGCUUUCGGGUACGUACUGGCGUCAUUGGUUUCUCCUUUCUGACGAACCAUGAUGUCAUUAAUUUGGUGUUAUGGGGAGUUAGGACUGUUACUUUGAAAAAAUUAGAGUGUUUAAAGCAAGCUAACGCUUGAAUACAUUAGCAUGGAAUAAUGAAAUAGGACGUUCGAUCCUAUUUUGUUGGUUUCUAGGAUUGACGUAAUGAUUAAUAGGGAUAGUUGGGGGCAUUAGUAUUCAAUUGUCAGAGGUGAAAUUCUUGGAUUUAUUGAAGACUAACUACUGCGAAAGCAUUUGCCAAGGAUGUUUUCAUUAAUCAAGAACGAAAGUUAGGGGAUCGAAGACGAUCAGAUACCGUCGUA
RNAcentral lists this ribosomal RNA (450 nucleotides) under uncultured Glomeromycotina. Its description in RNAcentral is "SSU rRNA". It matches the Rfam family "Eukaryotic small subunit ribosomal RNA", at positions 569 to 1022 of the family's 1831-position model. Lineage: Eukaryota; Fungi; Glomeromycota. The record is from RNAcentral.